Molecule: long non-coding RNA, 321 nt
Filed under: Equus caballus (horse)
Lineage: Eukaryota; Metazoa; Chordata; Mammalia; Perissodactyla; Equidae
Description: lncRNA (ENSECAG00000060324.1)
Source: RNAcentral
CACACGAUAAGCACUGGGAUGAAAUGCCCUCUUGCCGAGUGACGAAGCAGUGGCAGCAGCUGCGGCCCUCUCUUCAGUGAGGAAUUCACAGUCCAAUGGAAGGACAAAAUAUGCAAACCAACAAUCUCAACUGGCUUCUAUAAGUGCUAUGAGAUGCCAGAGAAAGUUCUUAGCUUCGCCUGGAGGGACUCAGGAUAAGUUUCCUGGCAGAGACGCCACCUGGACCAAACAUUGAAAGUUGGCAGUGUGUAACUCGUGUUGGUGACAGACAUGAUAGAGACAGUGAGAGCGGCUGCCUUUGAAGCCAUCAUUGCAACCUGC